This 497-nucleotide ribosomal RNA is filed under the name uncultured bacterium. RNAcentral's name for it is "partial 16S ribosomal RNA". It matches the Rfam family "Bacterial small subunit ribosomal RNA", at positions 28 to 507 of the family's 1533-position model. The record is from RNAcentral.
GAUGAACGCUGGCGGCGUGCCUAAUACAUGCAAGUCGAGCGAACAGAUAAGGAGCUUGCUCCUUUGACGUUAGCGGCGGACGGGUGAGUAACACGUGGGUAACCUACCUAUAAGACUGGAAUAACUCCGGGAAACCGGGGCUAAUGCCGGAUAACAUUUAGAACCGCAUGGUUCUAAAGUGAAAGAUGGUUUUGCUAUCACUUAUAGAUGGACCCGCGCCGUAUUAGCUAGUUGGUAAGGUAACGGCUUACCAAGGCAACGAUACGUAGCCGACCUGAGAGGGUGAUCGGCCAAACUGGAACUGAGACACGGUCCAGACUCCUACAGGAGGCAGCAGUAGGGAAUCUUCCGCAAUGGGCGAAAGCCUGACGGAACAACGCCGAGGGAGUGAUGAAGGUAAUCGGAUCGUAAAACUCUGUUAUUAGGGAAGAACAAAUGUGUAAGUAACUGUGCAAGUCUUGACGGUACCUAAUCAGAAAGCCAAGGCUAAAUACGUG